RNAcentral lists this ribosomal RNA (600 nucleotides) under Triticum aestivum (bread wheat). RNAcentral describes it as "partial small subunit ribosomal RNA". Lineage: Eukaryota; Viridiplantae; Streptophyta; Magnoliopsida; Poales; Poaceae. The record is from RNAcentral.
AUGCUUAUUAAAAAUCUGAGAUAUGAAGCGUACUGGGAGAGAGAGGUUGGGGCGCUGAAUGAUCAAAUUGAAUUGGUUUGGAAUAAAAGUACGCAUGUCAGUGACCUGGGAGAUGUGGCAAAUAAGUUGGACAGUCUUAUGAAGUCUCUUCAUGGGUGGAGUAAGGAACAUAUUGGUUAUUUGCCCAAAAAGCUUGAAACGGCGCGAAAGAGAUUAAAUUUGCUUUUCAAAAGAAAUGACCAUACUGCUGUUAUGAAAAGGAAGAAAAUCCUGGCUGAGAUGGAUGAACUUUUGAUUAAGGAAGAAAUCAUGUGGAAGCAGAGAUCUUGUUUGGACAAAAUGAAAUGGGGUGAUAGGAAUACAAAAUUCUUUCAGCAAAAGGCCACAUGGAGAGCUAAGAAGAAUAAUAUCUCGGCCCUUAAAAGGAGCGACGGUUCCCUCUCUCAUGAUGUGGACGAGAUGAAAGGUAUCACAAACUCUUUUUUUAAGAAUCUCUACUCUUGUGACAAGACAGUAAACCCUUCUUAUAUUAUCUCUCUUGUGAAACCUCUGGUGAAUGAUGAGAUGAAUGAGGAUCUUUGUAAGCCUUUUUCUGAAUAA